Molecule: ribosomal RNA, 849 nt
Filed under: uncultured bacterium
Lineage: Bacteria
Description: bacterial SSU rRNA
Rfam family: Bacterial small subunit ribosomal RNA
Source: RNAcentral
GAUAAACGCUGGGGAGGGKUGCUACCUGCAAGUCGACGGUGAAAGCCAAGCUUGCUUGGKGGAUCAGUGGCGAACGGGUGAGUACACGUGAGCAACCUGCCCUGGACUCUGGGAUAAGCGCUGGAAACGGCGUCUAAUACUGGAUAUGAGACGUGAUCGCAUGGUCGUGUUUGGAAAGAUUUUUCGKUCUGGGAUGGGCUCGCGGCYUAUCAGCUUGUUGGUGAGGUAAUGGCUCACCAAGGCGUCGACGGGUAGCCGGCCUGAGAGGGUGACCGGCCACACUGGGACUGAGACACGGCCCAGACUCCUACGGGAGGCAGCAGUGGGGAAUAUUGCACAAUGGGCGAAAGCCUGAUGCAGCAACGCCGCGUGAGGGAUGACGGCCUUCGGGUUGUAAACCUCUUUUAGCAGGGAAGAAGCGAAAGUGACGGUACCUGCAGAAAAAGCGCCGGCUAACUACGUGCCAGCAGCCGCGGUAAUACGUAGGGCGCAAGCGUUAUCCGGAAUUAUUGGGCGUAAAGAGCUCGUAGGCGGUUUGUCGCKUYUGCUGUGAAAUCCCGAGGCUCAACCUCGGGCCUGCAGUGGGUACGGGCAGACUAGAGUGCGGUAGGGGAGAUUGGAAUUCCUGGUGUAGCGGUGGAAUGCGCAGAUAUCAGGAGGAACACCGAUGGCGAARGCAGAUCUCUGGGCCGUAACUGACGCUGAGGAGCGAAAGGGKGGGGAGCAAACAGGCUUAGAUACCCUGGUAGUCCACCCCGUAAACGUUGGAAGUAGUUGUGGGGACCAUUCCACGGUUCCGUGACGCAGCUAACGCAUAAKUCCCCGCUGGGKAGUACGGCCCCCAAGGUU